Molecule: ribosomal RNA, 391 nt
Filed under: uncultured bacterium
Lineage: Bacteria
Description: bacterial SSU rRNA
Rfam family: Bacterial small subunit ribosomal RNA
Source: RNAcentral
AUUGAACGCUGGCGGCAGGCUUAACACAUGCAAGUCGAGCGGGGGCUUCGGUCCUAGCGGCGAACGGGUGAGGAAUGCCUGGGAAUCUGCCUGGUAGUGGGGGAUAACGAUUCGAAAGGGUCGCUAAUACCGCAUACGUCCUACGGGAGAAAGCAGGGGACCUUCGGGCCUUGCGCUAUCAGAUGAGCCCAGGUCGGAUUAGCUAGUAGGUGGGGUAAAGGCUCACCUAGGCGACGAUCCGUAGCUGGUCUGAGAGGAUGAUCAGCCACACUGGAACUGAGACACGGUCCAGACUCCUACGGGAGGCAGCAGUGGGGAAUAUUGGACAAUGGGCGAAAGCCUGAUCCAGCCAUGCCGCGUGUGUGAAGAAGGCCUCGGUUGGUAAAGGUAC